Molecule: ribosomal RNA, 267 nt
Filed under: uncultured bacterium
Lineage: Bacteria
Description: partial small subunit ribosomal RNA
Rfam family: Bacterial small subunit ribosomal RNA
Source: RNAcentral
AGAGCGAACGCUGGCGGCGUGCUUAACACAUGCAAGUCGAACGCGCAGCAUUCUGUAGCAAUACAGGGUGUGGGCGCGUGGCGAACGGGUGCGUAACACGUGGAUAACCUUCCUUGAGGUGGGAAUAACCCAGUGAAAAUUGGGCUAAUACCGCAUAACAUCGCGAUGGCACAUGCUGAUGCGAUCAAAGGCGCAAGUCGCCACAAGAGGGAUCCGCGGCCGAUUAGCUUGUGGCGAGGUAAUGGCUCACCAAGGCAAUGAUCGGUA